AUGCGAGCAGCUCCCCGAAGCGGUGCUCAUGAAGCUCCUGCUCCCAACAGCUGCGGCGCUUGUCCCUCUCCCACGGACAUCAUAGGUAGUUUGGUGGAGCGGUGCUGCAACUGGUGGCGGCGGCGGUGGCCAUGGGUGAGGCCAUGGACGAGUAGACUAAUGGAAGACGAUGCCUCAGUGCUACAACCUGUCAGUUUUUUUGCUGGACCAGUUAGGAAAAAAGCUGCAACCAGUUGCUGCCGCAGCACCACCAUGGAAUCCACUCAGUCCAUCCAUCUAGCUCCAUUCCGACGAAGCGAAACCUCCACCCCCGGGGAAGCUUCAACCAGCUGA
RNAcentral lists this ribosomal RNA (333 nucleotides) under Triticum aestivum (bread wheat). RNAcentral describes it as "partial small subunit ribosomal RNA". The record is from RNAcentral. Lineage: Eukaryota; Viridiplantae; Streptophyta; Magnoliopsida; Poales; Poaceae.